GACGAACGCUGGCGGCGUGCCUAAUACAUGCAAGUUGAGCGAUGAAGAUUGGUGCUUGCACCAAUUCGAAGAGCAGCGAACGGGUGAGUAACGCGUGGGGAAUCUGCCUUUGAGCGGGGGACAACAUUUGGAAACGAAUGCUAAUACCGCAUAACAACUUUAAACAUAAGUUUUAAGUUUGAAAGAUGCAAUUGCAUCACUCUAAGAUGAUCCCGCGUUGUAUUAGCUAGUUGGUGAGGUAAAGGCUCACCAAGGCGAUGAUACAUAGCCGACCUGAGAGGGUGAUCGGCCACAUUGGGACUGAGACACGGCCCAAACUCCUACGGGAGGCAGCAGUAGGGAAUCUUCGGCAAUGGACGAAAGUCUGACCGAGCAACGCCGCGUGAGUGAAGAAGGUUUUCGGAUCGUAAAACUCUGUUGGUAGAGAAGAACGUUGGUGAGAGUGGAAAGCUCAUCAAGUGACGGUAACUACCCAGAAAGGGACGGCUAACUACGUG
RNAcentral lists this ribosomal RNA (497 nucleotides) under uncultured bacterium. RNAcentral describes it as "partial 16S ribosomal RNA". It matches the Rfam family "Bacterial small subunit ribosomal RNA", at positions 28 to 507 of the family's 1533-position model. The record is from RNAcentral.